Molecule: long non-coding RNA, 1863 nt
Filed under: Homo sapiens (human)
Lineage: Eukaryota; Metazoa; Chordata; Mammalia; Primates; Hominidae
Description: non-protein coding lnc-TTLL7-16:1
Rfam family: mir-1255 microRNA precursor family (bases 1408-1473)
Source: RNAcentral
CUCCCUAUUCCUUGGGACACAACUGUAUUGAAAUUAGACCAACUAAUACUUCUACAAAGACUUCUGAGUGUUGAAGUGAAAGGAAGAGUUGCACGUCUCUUAUUUUAAAUCAAAAGCUAGACAUGAUGAAGCUUAGUGAGAAAGGUCUGUAGAAAGAUAAGAUGGGCCAAAAGCUAGGCCUCUUGCAUCAGCUAACUGUGGUGUGAAUGCAAAGGAAAAGCUUUUGAGGAAAAUGAAAAUUCUACUCCAGUGAACACACAAAUGACCAGAAAGCAUAACAGCCUUAUUGCUGAAAAGAAGAAAGUUUGAGUGGUUUGGAUAGAGAAUCAAACCAGCCCCAACAUUCCCCUAAGCCAAAGCCUAAUUCAGAGGAAAGUUCUAACUCUUUUCAAUUCUGUGAAGGCUGAGAGAGGUGAGGAAACAGCAGGAGAAAAGUUUAAAGCCACCAGAGGUUGGCUUAUGAGGUUUAAGGAAAUAAAGCAACCAUCUCCAUAACAUAAAAGUGCAAGUGGAGAAGCAAGUGCUUAUGAAGAAGCUGAAGCAAGUCAUCCAGAAGAUCUAGCUAAGAUAAUUGAUGAAGGUGGCUACACUACACAACAUGUGUUAACAGCCUUCUACUGAAAGAAGAUGCCAUCUAAGACUUUCGUAGCUACAGAGAAGUCAAUACCUGGCUUCAAAGCUUCAAAGAACAGGCUGACUCUCUCAUUAGGGGCUAAUGCAGCUGGUCACUUGAAGUUGAAACCAAUGCUCAUUAACCAGUCUGAAAGUCCUUGGGCCCUUAAGAAUUAUGCUAAACCUACUCUGCCUGUGCCCUAUAAAUGAAACAACAAAGCCUGAUGAAAGCGCUCCUGUUUAUACUAUGGUUUACUGAAUAUUUUAAGCCCACUGUUGAGACCUACUGCUUCAAAAAAAAGAUUCCUUUCUAAAUAUUACUGCUCAUUGACAAUGAAGCUGGUAACCCAAGAGCUCUGACGGAAAUAUACAAGAAGAUUAAUGUUGUUUUCAUGCCUGCAAACAAAUCAUCCAUUUUGUAGCACACAGAUAAAGGAGUAAUUUUUACUUUCAAGUCUUAUUAUUUAAGAAAAACACUUCAUAAGGCUACAACUGCCAUAGUGACAUUUAUGAUGGAUCUGAGCAAAGUACAUUGAAAAUCUUCUGGAAAGGAUGCACCAUUCUAGAUGUCCUUAAGAACAUUUGUGAUUCACGGGAAGAGAUCAAAAUAUCAACACUAACAGGAAUUUAAAGGAGGUUAAUUCCAACUCUCAUGGAAGACUUUGAGGCAUUCAAGGUUUCAGUGGAGGAAGUUCCUAUAGAUGUAGUGGGCAGAGUGAGAAAAGUAGAAUCAGAAGUGGAGCCUGAGUACAUAACUGAAUCUCAGGAUAAAAUUUGAACAAAUGAGGAGUUGCUUCUUAUGGAUAGGCCAAGAAAGAGGUUUCUUGAGAUAGAAUCCACUCCUGGUGAAGAUGCUGUGAACAUUUUUGAAAUGACAACACACAAAAAUAGAAUAUUUUCUAAACUUAGUUGAUGAGACAGCAUCAGAAUUUGAAAGGUUCGACUCUAGUUUUGAAAGGUUCUGCUGUGGGUAAGAUGCUAUCAAACAGCAUCACAUGCUACAGAGAAAUGGUUGGUAAAAGGAAGAGUCAAUGGAUGCACCAAACUUUCCUGUUUUAUUUUAAGAAAUAACCACAACUAACUCAACCUUCAGUAACCACCACCUGAUCAUUCAGCAGCAGCCAUCAACCUUGAGGGAAGACCUUCUAGCAACAAAAAGAUUAAGACUCUGAAGGGUCAGAUGAGCAGUAGCUUUUUUUUUUUAGUAAUAAAGUAAAGUAUUUUUAAAUUAAGUUAUGAACAUUGGGAAUU